GAUGAAGAACGUAGCGAAAUGCGAUAAGUAAUGUGAAUUGCAGAAUUCAGUGAAUCAUCGAAUCUUUGAACGCACAUUGCGCCCACUAGUAUUCUGGUGGGCAUGCCUGUUCGAGCGUCAUUUCAACCCUCAAGCCUUAGUUGCUUGGUGUUGGGAGCUUAUCUUACCGAAAGGCGGACAACUCCUUAAAACUAUUGGCGGAGUCGCGGUGACCCCAAGCGUAGUAAAUCUUUUUUUUCUCGCUUUAGGUGUUAACGCUGGCUUUCUAGCCGUUAAACCCUCUUAAUUUUUAGUGGUUGACCUCGGAUCAGGUAGGACUACCCGCUGAACUUAAGCAUAUCAAUAAGCGGAGGA
This 354-nucleotide unclassified non-coding RNA is filed under the name soil metagenome. RNAcentral describes it as "partial contains 5.8S ribosomal RNA, internal transcribed spacer 2, and large subunit ribosomal RNA". The stretch from base 1 to 120 matches the Rfam family "5.8S ribosomal RNA", at positions 35 to 154 of the family's 154-position model. The record is from RNAcentral.